RNAcentral lists this ribosomal RNA (497 nucleotides) under uncultured bacterium. RNAcentral's name for it is "partial 16S ribosomal RNA". It matches the Rfam family "Bacterial small subunit ribosomal RNA", at positions 28 to 507 of the family's 1533-position model. The record is from RNAcentral.
GAUGAACGCUGGCGGCGUGCCUAAUACAUGCAAGUCGAGCGAACAGACGAGGAGCUUGCUCCUCUGACGUUAGCGGCGGACGGGUGAGUAACACGUGGAUAACCUACCUAUAAGACUGGGAUAACUUCGGGAAACCGGAGCUAAUACCGGAUAAUAUAUUGAACCGCAUGGUUCAAUAGUGAAAGACGGUUUUGCUGUCACUUAUAGAUGGAUCCGCGCCGCAUUAGCUAGUUGGUAAGGUAACGGCUUACCAAGGCAACGAUGCGUAGCCGACCUGAGAGGGUGAUCGGCCACACGGGAACUGAGACACGGUCCAGACUCCUACGGGAGGCAGCAGUAGGGAAUCUUCCGCAAUGGGCGAAAGCCUGACGGAGCAACGCCGCGUGAGUGAUGAAGGUCUUCGGAUCGUAAAACUCUGUUAUUAGGGAAGAACAAAUGUGUAAGUAACUAUGCACGUCUUGACGGUACCUAAUCAGAAAGCAACGGCUAACUACGUG